RNAcentral lists this ribosomal RNA (253 nucleotides) under uncultured bacterium. RNAcentral's name for it is "partial 16S ribosomal RNA". It matches the Rfam family "Bacterial small subunit ribosomal RNA", at positions 524 to 776 of the family's 1533-position model. The record is from RNAcentral.
UACAGGGGUCCCAAGCGUUGUUCGGAUUCACUGGGCGUAAAGGGUGCGUAGGUGGCGAGGUAAGUUUGAUGUGAAAUCUCCGGGCUUAACCCGGAAAUGGCAUUGAAUACUAUCUGGCUGGAGGGUUGGAGGGGGGACUGGAAUUCUCGGUGUAGCAGUGAAAUGCGUAGAUAUCGAGAGGAACACCGGUGGCGAAGGCGAGUCCCUGGACAACACCUGACACUGAGGCACGAAAGCUAGGGGAGCAAACAGG